Long non-coding RNA from Micropterus dolomieu (smallmouth bass), 372 nucleotides. RefSeq lists it as uncharacterized. Lineage: Eukaryota; Metazoa; Chordata; Actinopteri; Centrarchiformes; Centrarchidae. The transcript has 2 exons. The record is from RefSeq and is a predicted model, not a curated record.
GCUGAGCUGCAGACCACGCCCUUUUUUCCCUGGUUGUGGUGCUUAGCUGCAGUCAGCUAGUUAGUCACCAGGUGGGAGGGAUCUGGUAAUUAGGAGAUUUGGAGUCAUUCACAGGAUAGAAAGCAGGCUGGGAAGAUGUGUUGAGGAACUGGAAAAAAAAUGAGACUGCAGGACUAAAGCUUGUCUGAACGAGGAAGGAGUCGGUUUUUUACCUGCUUAUGGCUACGACAACUUUCAAAUAAAAGAAGGAAAAGAAAGAAUUGAUUCCUGGUCAUUGAGUAAAAUCCAGUCCAAACCUUCAGAGGCAAGCAUACCCUAUCAAGUGGGGGAAACUGCAGGGUUGAACUUCACUAAAGUGAAUGCACUUGACAG